GACGAACGCUGGCGGCGUGCUUAACACAUGCAAGUCGAACGGUAAGGCCCUUCGGGGUACACGAGUGGCGAACGGGUGAGUAACACGUGGGUGACCUGCCCCCUACUCUGGGAUAAGCCUGAGAAAUUGGGUCUAAUACCGGAUAUGACUCAUGGCUGCAUGGUUGUGGGUGGAAAGCUUUUGUGGUGGGGGAUGGGCCCGCGGCCUAUCAGCUUGUUGGUGGGGUGAUGGCCUACCAAGGCUUCGACGGGUAGCCGGCCUGAGAGGGCGUCCGGCCACACUGGGACUGAGACACGGCCCAGACACCUACGGGUGGCUG
This 319-nucleotide ribosomal RNA is filed under the name uncultured Actinomycetes bacterium. RNAcentral describes it as "bacterial SSU rRNA". It matches the Rfam family "Bacterial small subunit ribosomal RNA", at positions 28 to 351 of the family's 1533-position model. The record is from RNAcentral. Lineage: Bacteria; Bacillati; Actinomycetota; Actinomycetes.